AUCUGCAGUCGAGGGGCAGCACGGUAGCAAUACUGGUGGCGACCGGCAAACGGGUGCGGAACACGUACGCAACCUUCCUCUAAGCGGGAGAUAGCCCGGAGAAAUCCGGAUUAAUACCCCAUAGGAUUGUGGAUUGGCAUCAAUCAGCAAUUAAAGAUUUAUCACUUAGAGAUGGGCGUGCGUCUGAUUAGGUAGUUGGUGAGGUAACGGCUCACCAAGCCGACGAUCAGUAACUGGCGUGAGAGCGCGACCAGUCACACGGGCACUGAGACACGGGCCCGACUCCUACGGGAGGCAGCAGUAAGGAAUAUUGGUCAAUGGACGCAAGUCUGAACCAGCCAUGCCGCGUGGAGGAUGAAGGUCCUCUGGAUUGUAAACUUCUUUUAUCUGGGAAGAAAUGCUUUUUUUCUAAAGAGCUUGACGGUACCAGAUGAAUAAGCACCGGCUAACUCCGUGCCAGCAGCCGCGGUAAUACGGAGGGUGCAAGCGUUAUCCGGAUUCACUGGGUUUAAAGGGUGCGUAGGCGGAUUAGAAAGUCCGUUGUGAAAUCUCUGAGCUUAACUCGGAAAUUGCGGUGGAUACUAUUAGUCUUGAAUACUGUGGAGGUUAGCGGAAUAUGUCAUGUAGCGGUGAAAUGCAUAGAUAUGACAUAGAACACCAAUUGCGAAGGCAGCUGGCUACACAGAUAUUGACGCUGAGGCACGAAAGCGUGGGGAUCAAACAGGAUUAGAUACCCUGGUAGUCCACGCCCUAAACGAUGAUUACUCGACAUUUGCGAUACACAGCAAGUGUCUGAGCGAAAGCAUUAAGUAAUCCACCUGGGAAGUACGACCGCAAGGUUGAAACUCAAA
RNAcentral lists this ribosomal RNA (851 nucleotides) under uncultured bacterium. Its description in RNAcentral is "bacterial SSU rRNA". It matches the Rfam family "Bacterial small subunit ribosomal RNA", at positions 53 to 905 of the family's 1533-position model. The record is from RNAcentral.